This 497-nucleotide ribosomal RNA is filed under the name uncultured bacterium. RNAcentral describes it as "partial 16S ribosomal RNA". It matches the Rfam family "Bacterial small subunit ribosomal RNA", at positions 28 to 507 of the family's 1533-position model. The record is from RNAcentral.
GAUGAACGCUGGCGGCGUGCCUAAUACAUGCAAGUCGAGCGAACAGACGAGGAUCUUGCUCCUCUGACGUUAGCGGCGGACGGGUGAGUAACACGUGGAUAACCUACCUAUAAGACUGGGAUAACUUCGGGAAACCGGAGCUAAUACCGGAUAAUAUAUUGAACCGCAUGGUUCAAUAGUGAAAGACGGUUUUGCUGUCACUUAUAGAUGGAUCCGCGCCGCAUUAGCUAGUUGGUACGGUAACGGCUUACCAAGGCAACGAUGCGUAGCCGACCUGAGAGGGUGAUCAGCCACACUGGAACUGAGACACGGUCCAGACUCCUACGGGAGGCAGCAGUAGGGAAUCUUCGGCAAUGGGCGAAAGCCUGACGGAGCAACGCCGCGUGUGUGAUGAAGGUCUUCGGAUCGUAAAGCUCUGUUAUUAGGGAAGAACAAAUGUGUGAGUAACUAUGCACGUCUUGACGGUACCUAAUCAGAAAGCCACGGCUAACUACGUG